CUACGGGUCGCAGCAGUGGGGAAUCUUAGACAAUGGGCGCAAGCCUGAUCUAGCCAUGCCGCGUGAGUGACGAAGGCCUUAGGGUCGUAAAGCUCUUUCGCUGGGGAAGAUAAUGACGGUACCCAGUAAAGAAACCCCGGCUAACUCCGUGCCAGCAGCCGCGGUAAUACGGAGGGGGUUAGCGUUGUUCGGAAUUACUGGGCGUAAAGCGCGCGUAGGCGGAUCAGAAAGUUGGGGGUGAAAUCCCAGGGCUCAACCCUGGAACUGCCCUCAAAACUCCUGGUCUUGAGUUCGAGAGAGGUGAGUGGAAUUCCGAGUGUAGAGGUGAAAUUCGUAGAUAUUCGGAGGAACACCAGUGGCGAAGGCGGCUCACUGGCUCGAUACUGACGCUGAGGUGCGAAAGCGUGGGGAGCAAACAGGAUUAGAUACCCGCGUAGUC
Molecule: ribosomal RNA, 439 nt
Filed under: uncultured bacterium
Lineage: Bacteria
Description: partial 16S ribosomal RNA
Rfam family: Bacterial small subunit ribosomal RNA
Source: RNAcentral